RNAcentral lists this ribosomal RNA (711 nucleotides) under Triticum aestivum (bread wheat). Its description in RNAcentral is "partial small subunit ribosomal RNA". The record is from RNAcentral. Lineage: Eukaryota; Viridiplantae; Streptophyta; Magnoliopsida; Poales; Poaceae.
AUGGGCCCGGCCCCCGCCACCGCCUCCCGCGCCGCGGCCUUCCCCACCUCCGCCGACGUCGCCCUCGCCGGCGCGCUGCUCUGCCUCGCCGACUCCCCGCCCGCGCCGCUCCUCCCCACCCUCAGCGACGAGCUCCCCUCCUACUCGGGCUCCUCCUCCUCCUACUCCGUCACCUCGGCGAGGUCGUGCGUGUCCGACGCGGCGCGCCGCAGCCGCCCCAUCGACCCCCUCCGCGUGCUCGCCGUCAUCGCCUCCCUCCGCCGCGUCGACCCCAAGGUGCUGGUGCAGGCGACCAGCAAGCUGUUCCAGGGCGAGCUGGCGAAGAGGCGGAAGGGAGUGUGGAUCGAGGUCAUCAACGGCGAGGAGGAGGAGGGCGGGGAGGAGAGCGAGAGGGGCAGCGUGGUGGCCAGCGAGGGGAGCACCAUCACGGGACCCGCGUCCUCCCGGUCCACGGCCACGUCGGGGAGGUGCCGCCGACCUCCGCUGGCGAGCGGUGGUGGUGACGCUCUGCUGCGGAGAGCGGACUCGAUCAUGAAGUGGCUCUCACGGCCGAAGGCGGGGCCGGCCACAGAGACGGCCAUCCGCGCCGCCGUCGGCGACAACGCUGUGACCAGCAAGGCUCUGCGCUGGUUGCUGAAGCAGAAAAGGGGGUUGCGUCGUGCAGGCACUGGUGGCCGCCCGGAUCCGUAUGUGUACAUGAUUGCAGGCUGA